Molecule: long non-coding RNA, 356 nt
Organism: Callorhinus ursinus (northern fur seal)
Lineage: Eukaryota; Metazoa; Chordata; Mammalia; Carnivora; Otariidae
Source: RefSeq, a predicted model, not a curated record
ACUACUUGAGGAUGCUUGAAACUGAAAGGAAGGUGCCAGUGGAAUAAGGGAGGAAGAUCAUGGACAGUAGGAGGGUAGUCCCUGAGGAGGAUGGAAGAGACUGGAUCCCUAGCACAGGGGAGGAAUUAGCCUUCAGAAGCUAAUCUCAUGGAGAGGUCAACUGCUGAGAGGGAAAUGGGAAAAGGAAGCGAGAAAAGUUUGAAGAGCACGAAGAUUUGAAGUGGCUACUGGAAAGAAUUGGACAUACUGCUAAGCAGCACUGAGGACCCAGACUAUUGCUUCGUCUUGAACUGGAGGACAUAAGGCAGCCAUCUACAGGGCCCUGGAAUACAAAACAACGAGUCCCCACCUGCAGA